AGGAACACAAGCAUUUAGCUGCACCCGCAAUAACAUCUGCUAAAUAUGUGGGUCCUAACAUUCCAAAUCAAAGAGCUCAAUUAUCCUUGGGUUGUGUAUUGCAGGCUGCGUAGUCGGCCGUCUCUCCCACACAGUUCCUGCCUCCAUGCCGGGGGGCGGGGUUAGAACACUCCCGCUGACGAAUCAUCAGCCCACUGCCACACGACACACUGCAUGGGUGUAGCGUCACAGGGAUGUGUCUCUGUAGUGUUGCCACGGCAGCCGCUGCCCCCGCGCUGAGCGAGGGGGAAGUUGCAGAGUCGAACACGCACAACGAGACCUGAACCACACGACACAGAACAUGCAGACCACGGAGACCACAGGCCCCAGCCGCUGUUCCCAUGGACUACACACACACACACACACACACACACACACACACAUUUUUAUAAAAGGGAAAUGAUUGCUCAAACCCAACACUCAAACCUGAGCGUUCCAUUCUACCACCUCUGGUCUCUUGGCCCUCCCACCCAUAUGAGGGUCAGCUCUCCCCCCCAGACCAGUCAAAGAUCUUCUCUGUCCUGACACCUCAACGGUGGAAUGAGCUUCAGCCUAACGUCAGAGUCCCAACCCCACCUUCCUAGCAUGUCUGAAACCGUACAUCUUCAAAGAGUAUCGGUGCACCUGCGGGUUUGGAGGGAGGAGUCAGAACAGGACGUGGAGACAUCAUCACAAGAUCGCCCUCUCCGCUGGAAACCACGCCCACAGCUCUCUGAAGGUCGUGCAGCAGACUAGUGGUAACGAUGUGGAGGCCAUGCAGCUCUGAUAACAGAUCAUUCAGCUCCUCACAGGACCGACGACACAUCACCUCAGGAUGCUCCACCCCUACACACACACAGAAUCAGAGCUAACCCAAACCAGAUCCACAAGUCUUCUGCUGUCUUUAUGUCUUACAGCUCUCUGAAGGUCGUGCAGCAGUUGUUUUGAUAAAGGUGUUAUGGAUAGUGAAGGUGACCUCCCUCUUACCUAUCAGGGUUAUGGAUAGUGAAGGUGACCUCCCUCUUACCUAUCAGGGUUAUGGAUAGUGAAGGUGACCUCCCUCUUACCUAUCAGGGUUAUGGAUAGUGAAGGUGACCUCCCUCUUACCUAUCAGGGUUAUGGAUAGUGAAGGUGACCUCCCUCUUACCUAUCAGGGUUAUGGAUAGUGAAGGUGACCUCCCUCUUACCUAUCAGGGUUAUGGAUAGUGAAGGUGACCUCCCUCUUACCUAUCAGCGUGUCUGUGCUCCUCCCUCUUACCUAUCAGCGUGUCUGUGCUCCUCCCUCUUACCUAUCAGCGUGUCUGUGCUCCUCCCUCUUACCUAUCAGCGUGUCUGUGCUCCUCCCUCUUACCUAUCAGGGUUAUGGAUAGUGAAGGUGACCUCCCUCUUACCUAUCAGGGUUAUGGAUAGUGAAGGUGACCCCCCUCUUACCUAUCAGGGUUAUGGAUAGUGAAGGUGACCUCCCUCUUACCUAUCAGCGUGUCUGUGCUCCUCCCUCUUACCUAUCAGCGUGUCUGUGCUCCUCCCUCUUACCUAUCAGCGUGUCUGUGCUCCUC
Long non-coding RNA from Oncorhynchus kisutch (coho salmon), 1574 nucleotides. RefSeq lists it as uncharacterized. The transcript is spliced from 6 exons. The record is from RefSeq and is a predicted model, not a curated record. Lineage: Eukaryota; Metazoa; Chordata; Actinopteri; Salmoniformes; Salmonidae.